GAUGAACGCUAGCGGCAGGCUUAAUACAUGCAAGGCGAAGGGGCAGCAAUGUCACUGUCGUACGGGUGCGUAACGUGUAUGCAACCUACCUAUCACUGGGGGAUAGCCCGGGGAAACCCGGAUUAAUACCGCAUAACACAGGGGCUCCUCAUGGAGAUAUUUGUUAAAGAUUUAUCGGUGGUAGAUGGGCAUGCGUUCGA
RNAcentral lists this ribosomal RNA (200 nucleotides) under uncultured bacterium. RNAcentral describes it as "partial 16S ribosomal RNA". It matches the Rfam family "Bacterial small subunit ribosomal RNA", at positions 28 to 240 of the family's 1533-position model. The record is from RNAcentral.